UACGUAGGCAGCGAGCGUUGUUCGGAGUUACUGGGCGUAAAGGGUGUGUAGGCGGUUGUUUAAGGUUGGUGUGAAAUCUCCCGGCUCAACUGAGAGAAUGCGCCGAAUACUGAAUGACUUCGAGUACGGGAGAGGUGAGUGGAAUUCCUGGUGUAGCGGUGAAAUGCGUAGAUAUUGGGAAGAACACCUGAGGCGAAGGCGGGUUGCUGGGCCGACACUGACGCUGAUGCGCGAAAGCCAGGGGAGCGAACGGG
This 254-nucleotide ribosomal RNA is filed under the name uncultured bacterium. RNAcentral describes it as "partial 16S ribosomal RNA". It matches the Rfam family "Bacterial small subunit ribosomal RNA", at positions 524 to 776 of the family's 1533-position model. The record is from RNAcentral.